GGUUUCGUGGUGUAGCGGUUAUCACGUCUGCUUUACACGCAGAAGGUCCUGAGUUCGAUCCUCAGCGGAACCA
Saccoglossus kowalevskii is the source of this 73-nucleotide non-coding RNA. The record is from the annotation of a RefSeq genome assembly. Lineage: Eukaryota; Metazoa; Hemichordata; Enteropneusta; Harrimaniidae.